UCAGGAUGAACGCUAGCUACAGGCUUAACACAUGCAAGUCGAGGGGCAGCAUUGGGAUAGCUUGCUAUUCAGAUGGCGACCGGCGCACGGGUGAGUAACGCGUAUCCAACCUUCCUGCCAGUAGGGAACAGCCCGGCGAAAGUCGGAUUAAUGCCCUAUGUUCUUCAAUGCGGACAUCUAAGUUGAAGGAAAGAUUCAUCGCUGGCAGAUGGGGAUGCGUCCGAUUAGCUUGCCGGCGGGGUAACGGCCCACCGGGGCGACGAUCGGUAGGGGUUCUGAGAGGAAGGUCCCCCACACUGGUACUGAGACACGGACCAGACUCCUACGGGAGGCAGCAGUGAGGAAUAUUGGUCAAUGGGCGUAAGCCUGAACCAGCCAAGUAGCGUGCAGGAAUGACGGCCCUACGGGUUGUAAACUGCUUUUAUGCGGGGAUAAAGUGCGGCACGUGUGCCGCUUUGCAGGUACCGCAUGAAUAAGGACCGGCUAAUUCCGUGCCAGCCGCUGC
RNAcentral lists this ribosomal RNA (505 nucleotides) under uncultured bacterium. RNAcentral describes it as "bacterial SSU rRNA". It matches the Rfam family "Bacterial small subunit ribosomal RNA", at positions 24 to 518 of the family's 1533-position model. The record is from RNAcentral.